UACAGAGGUCUCAAGCGUUGUUCGGAUUCAUUGGGCGUAAAGGGUGUGUAGGUGGCGCCGUAAGUCGGGUGUGAAAUCUCGGGGCUUAACUCCGAAACUGCAUUCGAUACUGCGGUGCUUGAGGACUGGAGAGGAGACUGGAAUUCAUGGUGUAGCAGUGAAAUGCGUAGAUAUCGUAAGGAAGACCAGUGGCGAAGGCGGGUCUCUGGACAGUUCCUGACGCUGAGGCACGAAGGCCAGGGGAGCAAACGGG
RNAcentral lists this ribosomal RNA (253 nucleotides) under uncultured bacterium. RNAcentral's name for it is "partial 16S ribosomal RNA". It matches the Rfam family "Bacterial small subunit ribosomal RNA", at positions 524 to 776 of the family's 1533-position model. The record is from RNAcentral.